This 301-nucleotide ribosomal RNA is filed under the name uncultured bacterium. RNAcentral's name for it is "partial 16S ribosomal RNA". It matches the Rfam family "Bacterial small subunit ribosomal RNA", at positions 509 to 809 of the family's 1533-position model. The record is from RNAcentral.
CAGCCGCCGCGGGAAUACGUAGGGUGCGAGCGUUAAUCGGAAUUACUGGGCGUAAAGCGUGCGCAGGCGGUUUGGCAAGUCUUGUGUGAAAUCUUCGGGCUCAACCCGAAGCCUGCACGAGAAACUGCCGGGCUUGAGUAUUGGAGAGGUGAGUGGAAUUUCCGGUGUAGCGGUGUAAUGCGUAGAUAUCGGAAGGAACACCUGUGGCGAAAGCGGCUCACUGGACAAUAACUGACGCUGAUGCACGAAAGCUAGGGGAGCAAACAGGAUUAGAUACCCCCGUAGUCCCUGUCUCUUAUAA